UGGGGAAUUUUGGACAAUGGGGGCAACCCUGAUCCAGCAAUGCCGCGUGUGUGAAGAAGGCCUUCGGGUUGUAAAGCACUUUUGUCCGGGAAGAAAUCCCCUGCCCUAAUACGGCGGGGGGAUGACGGUACCGGAAGAAUAAGCACCGGCUAACUACGUGCCAGCAGCCGCGGUAAUACGUAGGGUGCGAGCGUUAAUCGGAAUUACUGGGCGUAAAGCGUGCGCAGGCGGUGAUGUAAGACCGAUGUGAAAUCCCCGGGCUCAACCUGGGAACUGCAUUGGUGACUGCAUUGCUCGAGUAUGGCAGAGGGGGGUGGAAUUCCACGUGUAGCAGUGAAAUGCGUAGAGAUGUGGAGGAACACCGAUGGCGAAGGCAGCCCCCUGGGCCAAUACUGACGCUCAUGCACGAAAGCGUGGGGAGCAAACAGGAUUAGAUACCCUGGUAGUCCACGCCCUAAACGAUGUCAACUGGUUGUCGGGCCUUCAUUGGCUUGGUAACGUAGCUAACGCGUGAAGUUGACCGCCUGGGGAGUAC
This 535-nucleotide ribosomal RNA is filed under the name uncultured bacterium. RNAcentral describes it as "partial 16S ribosomal RNA". It matches the Rfam family "Bacterial small subunit ribosomal RNA", at positions 355 to 883 of the family's 1533-position model. The record is from RNAcentral.